AUACGAAGGGGGCUAGCGUUGUUCGGAAUUACUGGGCGUAAAGCGCACGUAGGCGGAUAUUUAAGUCAGGGGUGAAAUCCCGGGGCUCAACCCCGGAACUGCCUUUGAUACUGGGUAUCUCGAGUCCGAGAGAGGUGAGUGGAAUUCCGAGUGUAGAGGUGAAAUUCGCAGAUAUUCGGAGGAACACCAGUGGCGAAGGCGGCUCACUGGCUCGGUACUGACGCUGAGGUGCGAAAGCGUGGGGAGCAAACA
RNAcentral lists this ribosomal RNA (252 nucleotides) under uncultured prokaryote. RNAcentral describes it as "partial 16S ribosomal RNA". It matches the Rfam family "Bacterial small subunit ribosomal RNA", at positions 523 to 774 of the family's 1533-position model. The record is from RNAcentral.